GAUGAAGAACGCAGCGAAAUGCGAUAAGUAAUGUGAAUUGCAGAAUUCAGUGAAUCAUCGAAUCUUUGAACGCACAUUGCGCCCGCCAGUAUUCUGGCGGGCAUGCCUGUUCGAGCGUCAUUUCAACCAUCAAGCCCCCGGCUUGUGUUGGGGACCUGCGGCUGCCGCAGGCCCUGAAAACCAGUGGCGGGCUCGCUAGUCACUCCGAGCGUAGUAGUUACAUCUCGCUCAGGGCGUGCUGCGGGUUCCGGCCGUUAAACCACCUUCAUAACCCAAGGUUGACCUCGGAUCAGGUAGGAAGACCCGCUGAACUUAAGCAUAUCAAUAAGCGGAGGA
Molecule: unclassified non-coding RNA, 336 nt
Filed under: soil metagenome
Description: partial contains 5.8S ribosomal RNA, internal transcribed spacer 2, and large subunit ribosomal RNA
Rfam family: 5.8S ribosomal RNA (bases 1-120)
Source: RNAcentral